CCACCAGCCUGAGUCUCGACUAUCUCCCUGCUGCUGAAGCAUGUCCCCUGGACCUGACACGCCUGGUUCCUAAGCUGCCAGCAGCCAAAGAAGAGUAAAUAUUAACUGUGGUGGGGAAUGAUUAGUCACAUGUGGACAGCCUGCCACAGUUUCUAAGGUGCUGACCUGAAAAGGAGCUGAAAGGAAAGAAGACUGGGAUCACCUGCCCGUUGGGCUGGACGUCUUGCACGUACCUCUCCAGGUCUAACCCUGCUCUCUCCACCUGGGAUCCUGACCUCCGUGGGCUGCACGCUCAGGUUCUUUCACGCUCUGGCUUCAGCCAAGGAGGGGCACCAGCCCACGGGGAGAUCACAGAGAUGGAGGUGAGUGAAAUCAGGAAAAGUAUUUUCCCGCCCUCCUCCCUCCUGGGUCCCCCUAGGCUGGCCUUGUCCCUUAACCAAAGGCCACAGCUCGUAGCCAGUAUCUCCCAGCACAGCUGCUUACACUCUUCCAGCUUGCUCCGCCAGCCCCAGCAAGCCCGCAGAUUCUGGGAAGCGAUCCCUCCUAUUCCAGCCCAGGGGGAUCACAGUUUUUCUGGCCUAUUAGUCUGCCUGGGAUCCUGCAGCCACCCUGGUUGCUUCCUUACACCCAGCUCACACCUGGAGGUAAAGGGGUCUCACUGCCAUACGCAUGCACAUGAGCAGAAGAGCGCAAACUGAGGUGAGUCUGAGCAAGUCAGGGAUCGGUUUCUGCGAGUGCCCGCAUUUCUGUGAUCCGAGGUGGCUGCGGGGCCUGUAGUCAGGAAGGGCUUCCCUGAGAAACCGAUGUUUGAACUGACAUCACGUCCAGGGAGGUUUGGGUGGGACGUGGGGAGGCGGAGGGGGCAGGGGGUCCCAGGAAAAGGGAACAGUCUGUGCAAAGGUCCUGCCCCAUGUUCUUGGCCGCAGACCUAGUGACUCUCACACACAGGGCCUUAGCCCUUCAUUUAACAUUUGGUUAUUUGAGCUUUUAUGGGAAACACAUUUUGCCAUUUUUAAUGGCUACACACACAUAGAAGAUGUUAAAGAUAACAAUUAUGUUAAUAAAAAUCUACAGGUUUUACUUCUCCAACACAUCAAAGCUUAUUGGCAGCCCCGGCUUGGUCCAUAGCGCCUAAUACACUGGCAAAUGUACAGCUGAAGUCCAAUAAGCUCAUUGUAAUGGACUGACUGUUUGUGUCCCCCACAAAAUUCAUAGGUUCAAAUCCCUAACCCCCAAGGGAUAGUAUUAGGAGGUGGGGCCUUUGGGAGGGAACUAGGUCCUGAGGGUGAAGCUCUCAUGGGUAGGAUCAGUGUGCAUACAAGACACCCCAGAGAGCUCUCUCGGGCCCUUCUGCCACGUGAAGAUACACUGAGAAAAUGACAGUCUGCAACCCAGAAGAAGGCCCUCCCAGAACCUGACCAAGCUGGCACCCUGAUUUCUAGCCUCCAGAGUGAGGAGAAACACAUUUCUGUUGUUUAUACACCAUUCAGUCAGUCCAUGGUAUUUUCCUAUAGCAGCCGAAGCCAAGACACGCACGCAGCUGAUGGAGCGACUGGCUGAGGAACCGGAGGAUGGGGAAAACCCAGCAGAAAACAGCACUGCCUGUCAGGGGCGGCUGGCAUGUGAAAGGCAGGUGAGCUGACUUCCAGCGAAGUCUGAGGUUGACCUUGGACAAAUUAAACUUAUCUCCAGAUACUAUUUGCUCAGGUCUCAGGCCCUAAGAUAGGAGAUAAGCGAGAGUUAUUUUGGUCGCCCAAAAGCUUCACAGAAGAGCUGGGACACAGUGGUAACCACCCUUCCCAGGGCAACAUGUGAAAUUCAGCCUCGGGUGUGAGGUUUCUUCCGCGCAGCUCAUCAAAGAAGACUGGAAGCUUCCGUACAACCCACAGGUGGGAGAAGGUUCAGGAGAAAAGGACAGAGGAGGAAACAGAGAGAAAGGUGGAAGACAUUAUUAGUCUGCCACCAUAGAGCACACACCAGUUUAUACAAAUGAGGGUCGGGCACCUGCCAAACCUGGGAAAGUCAUAAUCCUCCACUGGAUCGGAGCCCUGCGUGUGAUUAUCAGUUACAAGAUCUUGUGUCCAUCAAUGUUUCCUUGUUUUAUAACCCAUGGAAGAAUUGUGACUCAUGAAUCUCGGAUCCUAAGAAACAUUUUGUGCCCAGAGGUACAUCCCGAAAAAAAUCGAAGCAGGAUCCCAAGUCACAUGGCCCCUCAAUGUCUAUCUUCUUGAGGACAAUGCCUGAGGUGGGUGCAAAGAUAACAACACUGACGUUCAGAGGAUCAGGUGAUGUCAACGGGUUCAGGGAACCACUUGAUGUUCAACACAUUCGACGGCAAGAGGCGGGACUUUGGACACUAGGAAUUGUGAAGUCCCAGUCUUUAACUCUGUGGUGGUAAUACUCUAUGGCUGCGUUUGUCCUUUACCUCCUAUCCCAGCACACCCAAAUAAUGAUAGGUCAAUAGCACAAGACGAAGGGAGACUUUCUUUCUCUGGCCACCCCAAGUAACCAAGAGGAAUCAAAGAGGACCGCUCACUGGAGGGCUCUGAGCAGUCUUCAAGCUCACCUUGGUGUAGUUUCUAAAUAUAACAGGCAGCCAGAAGCUUUGAGUAACUCUUGGCUGAUUUGGCUUCCCUGGGAUAAACUUUUUUUUUCUCCUCAGAUUAUGCUAUACCAGGAACAGAGCCCUAAGGGGGGAAAUUCUUCUUCAAAGUCACAGCAAGAUAACACUGUGUGUGGUAUUCAGGUUGUUCUCCUUUGGAAGGAGGAAAAAAAAAAAAGUGGGAGGCAAACUUCUAACAUCAGCCAACAUCAAAAAGGAUAUCCCUACUUUGCAAGUGUGGUGUGCGCAGAGGGGAGGCGAAGCAAGAGGGGGAAGAGGGUCAGGUGAAAGGCAAUUAACACAUCCUGGUGCCAGGCUGGCAAGGAGCAGGAGCGUGGGCAACAGGGUCAGGUAGUCCAGGUGGCAGUGGGCACCAUGGAGGUGCAUGAGCCAGCAGGCACUGGCAGCUGUCCCUGUGCUGGUCCUACCGGGAAAGUCACAGCAUGCAAGGCAGCCAUGAUGCCCGCUCCCCGGGAGGUGGGCUCAGGUACAGCUCUGACUCCAUUUCUCUGCUAGACAGCAGACACUAAUUUUACUUUGCCCCCUGGCUUUUGCUGCUCCUUCGGUCGAGGGAAAUUUGGUGUGCCAUUAAAAUUGCCUAGAACAUAUGCAGACAUUGAUGUCUUCUCUUAUGCACCAAUACAAAACACUUCCCUCCUUAUUUUUUAGUGCAAGACUCUCUAUUUCCCAACACGACAAUGUAUUUGAGUAUUAGAGAUGCA
Molecule: long non-coding RNA, 3324 nt
Organism: Hipposideros armiger (great roundleaf bat)
Lineage: Eukaryota; Metazoa; Chordata; Mammalia; Chiroptera; Hipposideridae
Exons: 4
Source: RefSeq, a predicted model, not a curated record